Molecule: ribosomal RNA, 432 nt
Filed under: uncultured bacterium
Lineage: Bacteria
Description: bacterial SSU rRNA
Rfam family: Bacterial small subunit ribosomal RNA
Source: RNAcentral
AACGUACGCUGGCGGCACGCCUAACACAUGCAAGUCGAACGCAGUAGCAAUACUGAGUGGCAGACGGGUGAGUAACAUGUGGGAAUCUGCCUUGUGGUUCAGGACAACAUUGGGAAACCGAUGCUAAUACUGGAUAAGCCCUUACGGGGAAAGUUUUAAUGCCAUAAGAUGAGCCCGCAUUUGAUUAGUUAGUUGGUGAGGUAAUGGCUCACCAAGACAAUGAUCAAUAGCUGAUCUGAGAGGAUGAUCAGCCACACUGGGACUGAGACACGGCCCAGACUCCUACGGGAGGCAGCAGUGGGGAAUCUUGCACAAUGGAGGAAACUCUGAUGCAGCGAUGCCGCGUGAGUGAAGAAGGCCUUUGGGUUGUAAAGCUCUUUUGUAGGGGAAGAUAAUGACUGUACCCUAAGAUAAGGUCCGGCUAACUUCGUG